RNAcentral lists this ribosomal RNA (460 nucleotides) under uncultured bacterium. Its description in RNAcentral is "partial 16S ribosomal RNA". It matches the Rfam family "Bacterial small subunit ribosomal RNA", at positions 338 to 795 of the family's 1533-position model. The record is from RNAcentral.
CCUACGGGCGGCAGCAGUGAGGAAUAUUGGUCAAUGGACGAGAGUCUGAACCAGCCAAGUAGCGUGAAGGAUGACUGCCCUAUGGGUUGUAAACUUCUUUUAUAUGGGAAUAAAACGUUCCACGUGUGGGAUUUUGUAUGUACCAUAUGAAUAAGGAUCGGCUAACUCCGUGCCAGCAGCCGCGGUAAUACGGAGGAUCCGAGCGUUAUCCGGAUUUAUUGGGUUUAAAGGGAGCGUAGGUGGAUUGUUAAGUCAGUUGUGAAAGUUUGCGGCUCAACCGUAAAAUUGCAGUUGAAACUGGCAGUCUUGAGUACAGUAGAGGUGGGCGGAAUUCGUGGUGUAGCGGUGAAAUGCUUAGAUAUCACGAAGAACUCCGAUUGCGAAGGCAGUUCACUGGACUGCAACUGACACUGGGGCUCGAAAGUGUGGGUAUCAAACAGGAUUAGAUACCCCUGUAGUC